GACGAACGCUGGCGGCUUGCUUAACACAUGCAAGUCGAACGGAAAGGCCCUGCUUUUGUGGGGUGCUCGAGUGGCGAACGGGUGAGUAACCCGUUAGUAACCUUCCCUUUACUUUGGGAUAACUUCCGGAAACUGGGGCUAAUACCGGAUAGGAGCUCCUGCUGCAUGGUUGGGGUUGGAAAGUUUCGGCUGUUGGGGAUGGACUCGCGGCUUAUCAGCUUGUUGGUGGGGUAGUGGCUUACCAAGGCUUUGACGGGUAGCCGGCCUGAGAGGGUUAACGGCCACAUUGGGACUGAGAUACGGCCCAGACUCCUACGGGAGGCAGCAGUGGGGAAUAUUGCACAAUGGGCGGAAGCCUGAUGCAGCAACGCCGCGUGCGGGAUGACGGCCUUCGGGUUGUAAACCGCUGUCGCCUGUGACGAAGCGUGAGUGACGGUAAUGGGUAAAGAAGCACCGGCUAACUACGUG
Molecule: ribosomal RNA, 468 nt
Filed under: uncultured bacterium
Lineage: Bacteria
Description: partial 16S ribosomal RNA
Rfam family: Bacterial small subunit ribosomal RNA
Source: RNAcentral